RNAcentral lists this long non-coding RNA (984 nucleotides) under Coturnix japonica (Japanese quail). RNAcentral's name for it is "lncRNA (ENSCJPG00005008914.1)". The record is from RNAcentral. Lineage: Eukaryota; Metazoa; Chordata; Aves; Galliformes; Phasianidae.
GGUUCAUGCUGUGAGCUGGCAAUUCCACUGCAGACAGGCAGCUGUCAUUGAGGAAUUCCUUUCUGUUUAGUAUUCCUUUAGAUUAAAUUCAGUUUAUACAGAAUUUAAAAUCAGAGCAGUCAGUUCCUGUUACUGUAGAGUUUCUGAAGUUUGCCAGAGUAUUGAUGGAAGAAAACAGAUUGCAAAUACUACUUUUUUUUUAAUGCCUAAAGGGGAUGAAUGAUUAUAGAAGAGUCUUCAGGAGACACCAAAAACCAUGGAGUAAUCUAGAAAAUUAUAUACCAGCACCUUAUUUUAUAGGACCCUGCCUGAUGAGUGUUACCUUGACCCAGAUACCAUACGAACAGCAAAUAAGCUGUUGAAGUAAAGUUCCAUCUGGGAAGCAGUCAAGACAGGGACUGACCUGUAUAUUCUCAAAGUUUAUAAUCUCAACGGAUACAAGUCUUUCAAAUGCUUGGGUGUUUGUCUUGCCAAAACAAGCUGAGAAAUAUCACCUAAAAAUAGAUCUGUCUUCUGGCUCCCUGUUUGCUUUAGGAAAGUCUGCAUUGAGCUCAAGUGUCAAUCAGAUAAAUUUGGGGAAGAACUUUUUGCCUGAAGAUGCUACUUACGUCAUUUCACCAGCACAUACACUGGAUUGGUUAACAUCAUCUACACACCAACCUUGUUCUACUUCCAGAUACUUUGCAGACAACCCUUUCAAAGUUGAUUAUGGCUGUGGAAGGUCCCUAAGUACAGGUGAUGAAGAGAUUUGCUGAUUAAAGAGGCCCACCUGUGACUCUCACUCUACAGCUCCCAGUACUACAACUGUAAUGUGUGAGUUCGGUCCUUUUGAAAACAAUGUGGCAAAACUGUGGUGAUUCAGGUCUUCUAAAGUAAUUUGAUUAUAAAGGAAUUAAUGUCCUUGAUGAUCACUUAACACGUUAAAACUGUAUGAAGUUGCAAACAGGUUCUGUAAUAGAACACCAAGUACAUUGUUCAUGGGCU